This 267-nucleotide ribosomal RNA is filed under the name Triticum aestivum (bread wheat). RNAcentral describes it as "partial small subunit ribosomal RNA". Lineage: Eukaryota; Viridiplantae; Streptophyta; Magnoliopsida; Poales; Poaceae. The record is from RNAcentral.
AUGUGCAUUGUCUUGGGGCCACUGUUGCGGAAAGGAGUUUUGGUUUUUAUCGACGACAUAUUGGUUUAUAGCAGCACUCUGGAGAAGCAUAUCUUGUUGUUGCGUUCGGUAUUUCAAUUACUUGACAAGUACUCUCUGAAAGUCAAGUACAGCAAGUGUGCCUUUGCUCAACCUCAGCUCAAGUACCUUGGUCAUGUAAUUAGCAAGGAAGGAGUGCACACAGAUCUAGCUACAGUCGAGAAAGUUCAUGAUUGGCCACAACCAUAA